GACAGAGGGUGCAAACGUUGUUCGGAAUUACUGGGCGUAAAGCGCGUGUAGGCGGCCAUGCAAGUCGGAUGUGAAAGCCCUCGGCUCAACCGGGGAAGUGCACUCGAAACUGCAAGGCUAGAGUCUCGGAGAGGAUCGUGGAAUUCUCGGUGUAGAGGUGAAAUUCGUAGAUAUCCGGAGGAACACCGGUGGCGAAGGCGGCUUCCUGGACCGACACUGACGCUGAGGCGCGAAAGCUAGGGGAGCAAACGGG
This 253-nucleotide ribosomal RNA is filed under the name uncultured bacterium. RNAcentral describes it as "partial 16S ribosomal RNA". It matches the Rfam family "Bacterial small subunit ribosomal RNA", at positions 524 to 776 of the family's 1533-position model. The record is from RNAcentral.